AGUGAACGCUUCCUCUCUUCCUAACACAUGCAGGUCGAACGGCAGCACAGUAAGAGCUUGCUCUUACGGGUGGCGAGUGGCGGGCGGGUGAGGAAUACAUCGGAAUCUACUUUUUCGUGGGGGAUAACGUAGGGAAACUUACGCUAAUACCGCAUACGACCUACGGGUGAAAGCAGGGAAUCUUCGGACCUUGCGCGAUUGAAUGGGCCGAUGUCGGAUUAGCUAGUUGGCGGGGUAAAGGCCCACCAAGGCUACGCUCCGUAGCUGGUCUGAGAGGAUGAUCAGCCACACUGGAACUGAGACACGGUCCAGACUCCUCCGGGAGGCAGCAGUGGGGAAUAUUGGACAAUGCGCGCAAGCCUGAUCCAGCCAUACCGCGUGGGUGAAGAAGGCCUUCGGGUUGUAAAGCCCUUUUGUUGGGAAAGAAAAGCAGCAGGUUAAUACCCCGCUGUUCUGACGGUACCCAAAGAAUAAGCACCGGCUAACUUCGGG
This 492-nucleotide ribosomal RNA is filed under the name uncultured bacterium. RNAcentral describes it as "partial 16S ribosomal RNA". It matches the Rfam family "Bacterial small subunit ribosomal RNA", at positions 29 to 507 of the family's 1533-position model. The record is from RNAcentral.